UAUGUCCCCAUAUCCGCUCCCUCUUGCGUCUCCCUCCCAUCCUCCCUAUCCCACCUCUCUAGGUGGACACAAAGCACCGAGCUGAUCUCCCUGUGCUAUGCGGCUGCUUCCCACUAGCUAUCUAUUUUACAUUUGGUAGUGUAUAUAUGUCCAUGCCACUCUCUCACUUCGUCCCAGCUUACCCUUCCCCCUCCCCGUGUCCUCAAGUCCAUUCUCUACAUCUGCGUCUUUAUUCCUGUCCUGCCCCCUAGGUUCUUCAGAACCUUUUUUUUUUUUUUUAGAUUCCAUAUAUAUGUGUUAGCAUACGGUAUUUGUUUUUCUCUUUCUGACUUACUUCACUCUAUAUGAGACAGACUCUAGGUCCAUCCACCUCACUACAGAUAACUCAAUUUCGUUUCUUUUUACGGCUGAGUAAUAUUCCAUUGUAUAUAUGUACCACAUCUUCUUUAUCCAUUCACGCUUUUGAUUUACCACUUUCCCUGGGAAGUCACACCUCUGUCCUUCCCCUCCAAGUCCAAUGCCUGCAUCCACCCAGCCCAGCUCGAAAGCCCAGUUAGCCUUGACAGGUGUGAAGUCUUUGUUUUUGCUACAUUUUUCCCCCUACAACCUUCAACUUUGCCUUUGUCUGAGCAGAACAGCCGUGAAGGCAGAGAAUUUGCUGGGCUUCUCCCACCUUGCCUCUCUGCCAGGUGUUGCCUCCCGUCAAGCAAAGCCUCCGCUGUUAUCUUUUCAGCCAGAGGCUGUGGAGGCAGCCAGGUGUGGGUCAAGGACUCAGGCUUUAAAACGCCAGGUCUGAGCUCUCACUGGUUUUCUUUGCCCUGAUUUUCUGGUCUGGGGACAAGAGCCUCUGGGUUUGAGCCCAACUAGCUGACUCCGUUUGCCUUUUCGAACAGGGAGGCUGAGGGUCCGGGGUUCUUAAGCCCGACUGCAGAGACACAGAUUCUUUCUUGUUGUCUUCAUUCCAUCAGCUUUGAGGGGGAGGCGCUGUGCAGUCACCUGGCCGUGACCUCUGCCAAGCAGCCACCUCAGGCUCUGAGAGGCAUGGAGGGAGGGUCAGGAAUGCCAGCCUUGUCCACCACCAGCUCACACACGUCUGGAAAGCAAAGGCUCUGCCUGCUUUGGGGGAGACACUGAGGGCAGAAGAAACUUCUAGGGGCCUCCUUUUGCCCUGUUACUUUUAACAGAAGAGUCAGGUCACUGAAGUUAGACUGCUUGCAAUCAAACUCUCAUUUUCUUCCAUCCUGUGCUGGUUAAGUGACCCCGGCCAAGAAAUUUAUCCUCAUCAGGCCUCAGAUUCCUUCUCUGUAAAUUGGGGGCAAUGGUAGUGUCUUCCUAACAGGGUUGUCAUGAGAGUGAAAUGAGCGAACGCACGGUGCACACUCAGCAAACGUCAGCGGUCACUAAUCACAUCGUAGGGCCCGUGUGAACUGGCCUGUCCUCCCCGCUGGCCCUGUCCCUCACUGCUGCAGCCACACUGGCCUUUCUUCCCUUUCUGACACAUACCAGGCUUGUGCCAGCCUCAGGGCUUUCCCCCUUGCUGGUUCCUCCUGGGAAGAGUUCCCCAGAUCUUUGCCAGGCAGGCACUCACCUUCUCCUUGUCUCAGGUCAGAGGUCACCUCUUCCAGGAGGCCUUCGCCCACCCCCAGCCUUGACACUUUCUCUCUCACGACCUUGUUUUAUUUUCUUUGUAAACUUUAUCCCCUCUUGAAAUUAUUCAGUGUAUUUAUCCCUUUGCUUGUGUAUUUUCCGAUCCACCCCAGCAGAGAAAAUUUCCAUUUUCAGGAGCACUAUGCAUACCCCUGAGUGCCUGGAAGAGUGGCAGCAUACAGUAAGUGGUCGGUAACUGACUGUGGAAUGAAUGCAUGGAUAGCUGUAUAGAAUCUCAGCUUAAAUACAUGCAAUCAAGGCUGAUGCUGCUUCAGCUUUACUGUAUUAUGUGCCUGGCAGUCUGAGAAGCCCUUUGUAAAUGUUUCUUCUUCUUUUUUUAAAAAAAUUAAUUAAUUUAUUUAUAUUUUGUCUACAUUGGGUCUUUGCUGCUGUGCGUGGGCUUUCCCUAGUUGAGGCGGGUGAGGGCUACUGUUCGCUGCGGUGCCUGGGCUUUUCAUUGCGGUGGCUUCUCUUGUUGUGGAGCAUGGGCUUUAGGCGCGUGGGCUUCAGUAGUUGUGGUGCAUGGGCCCAGUAGUUGUGGCUCGUGGGCUUAGCUGCUCCGCAGCACGUGGGAUCUUCCCAGACCAGGGCUUGAACCCAUGUCCCCUGCAUUGGCAGGUGGACUCUCAACCACUGCGCCACCAGGGAAGCCCCUGUUUCUUCUGAUUUUAAAAGACUCUUUAAAACUUUCUUCAUGGGCCGAGUGUCUAGUGAAGAAGUCUGCUCUGGAGGAAGGUCACUUUAUAGAAACACAGAUUAAAUAAUCAUAAAAUCCAAUGACAGAUGACAGAUAGUUUUUAAUAUUAAUAAAAAAAAAAUCUCGGACUUCCCUGGUGGCACAGUGGUUAAGAAUCCACCUGCCAAUGCAGGGGACACGGGUUCGAGCCCUGGUCCAGGAAGAUCCCACAUCCCGCGGAGCAACUGAGCCCGUGUGCCACAACUACUGAGCCUGCACUCUAGAGCCCGUGCUCUGCAACAGGAGAAGCCACCGCAGUGAGAAGCCCACACACCGCAACGAGGAGUAGCCCCUACUUGCCACUAGAGGAAAGCCCACGCGCAGCAACAAAGACCCGAUGCAGCCAAAAAAAAGAGUGUUUGCGUAUCCCCAUGAGAACAACAAUGCUAAUGCAUCUUGUCUAAAGCACGCUUUUAUUCUUCACUAAUUAUAUUCACAUCCAAAGUCACGUGUGAGCCCCUGUGUAUAGGUGAUGUGUACGUGGGAUGGACAUCUCUGUCCCUAUUUCACAGGCAGGAAAACUGAGGGUCAGAGCAGAGAUGGGUCUGCUCAGCGUUCUGGGGCAUAUAUGGUUGCCACACUUUAGAAAGGUCUUGGCCGGGACCCUACCCCUCUGGGGAGCCUCCCUGGACCAGCCUCGGUCAGCCGCUGGUCCUCCAUCACACUGCCGACACGUUCCCCAUCUGAGCAUCCCCAGUCACGGUUGCUCACUGCAUUGUCUCUCCCGCUGGACCUGUGUGGUGGCCACCAGACCAGUGGUUCUCAGCCAGGGGCAAUUUUGCUUCCACCUCCAGGGGACAUUUGGCAGUGUCUGGAGACAUUUGCGGUUGUCACAACUGGAGGAUUGGGACACUACUGGCAUCUAGAAAAGCUGCUAAAGACUCGAUAAUACGCAGGGCAGCCUCCACAGCAAAGAAGUAUUUGGCCCAAAUGUCAAUAGUGCCUGCUCUAGACACAGCAGCUGUUAAGCACUUGAGAUGUGGCUGGACCAAAUGAAGACACCAGAUUUCAAAGACUUAGUAUGAAAAUAAGAAUGUAAAAUAUCCCAUUAAUAAGUUAAAAAUGUUGACUACCUGUGGAAUGAUAUUUUGGAUAUAUUGUGUUAAAAUAGAUGGCAAAAAUUAAUUCUACCUAUUUUAAAAAAUGAUUUUAAUUGUAGCUACUAAAAAAUGUUAAAUCGCAUAUAUGGUUCACAUUACAUUUUGAAUGGGCAGCGCUGUGCUAGACGGUACAUGCCAUUUGAGCAGGGGUCUGUCUGCAUCUCUCUGGGUUUGCUCAUCGUUGUAAAUGCAACACUAAGCAGAGAGCUGACACAUGCUGGGUGCUUGGUAGAUAGUUGUGGGAGAAGGGAGGAAGGAAGGAAGGGAAGAAGGAAGAAAGGGAGGGUCAACACCCCCAGGAGCUGCCCUGCUAGGACCCCCAAGAACCCAUUGGUGAGCCCAGAAUUCUCCCUCCAAAUCCGGUAUUUAAGGCAGCUGCCAAGGAGAGCUGCUUCCUUCUAGAAGGUGCCCUGGAUGCCCACUGUCCCUGGUUCCCUGGCCUGGCCCUCCUCUGGGUCUUCUCGCCCUGUUUCCUCCCACUCGACCUGGCCGACAGUAAUCUUGGGUGAGUCACUUAAUCCCUUGUUUUGUAGCUUCUCCCCUUGCAACCUGCCCCCCUUCUGGUCCCCAUCAGCAGGAGGUUCACUUAGAUUUUUAGAGCUAUCUGUCUGAGCCAGGAUCCUCUGGGUUCUACAUCCAGACAACAGGGAAGCAGUCGCAGGCUUUCUGUGACUUUAAUUAUCUCUAGCAAAUGGGUUGAUCAUCCCCACAGGAAAAAGCUAUGAGCCCCAGAACACGUAUUUGGAAACGUCUGUCCUGUCCUGAUAAUGGGCUUUCUGAGAAUACGGCUAAUUCUUCAUCAUUACACAACACGGAGGUGAUUGAGCAAGUGUCAGCCGCAGUGAACGCCAGCUGGAUUUGACUGGAUUCUGUCCCCAAAUAUUAAAAACAGUUCAGUUUUCUUCUCAGCCCUCUAAAGAUUUGUGGAUGGCCUGGGCAUGGCAUUGCGGGACGACUGACUCUAGGUGGCAUCGGGAGAGGAUGUCCAGAGGGGAUCUAUUUUAAUCAGGAACACCAAGUCGCUACACGAUUGGCAACACCUACCAGCCUGGCCUGGAAAUUGGAAUUUACAGGCAAAAAUGACAAGUCUGUUUUCAUCUAAAUGUUCCUGGGAUUUUUUUUUCCCCUUUAAAAAAAAAAAGUCUGACUGUGAGAGAAAACAUGCCCAUGAAAUGGCAAAAUGUAGGAAAAUACAAAGAAAAAAUAAAACUUACCCAGAAUCCCAUGACCCAAUGAUUAUCACUGCAAACAUGAUAUCUUUCAGCCUUCUCUUGUACAUAAAUAUUCAUAAUUUAUUGUGUAUAGUAUUUUCCAAUAUUGUUAUCAAACGGCCUGUGCCAGUUGAAACGUUUUUUUUUUUGCUGUAUAUCAAGAACAUUUUGUCACAUCUCAUGCAAUAGUCGACAUCAAUUUAAAUGACUGCAGAGCCCUUCACUAGGAAAGCAAACCAACACCGACUUAAACAACUCCCCAAUAUUUAGGCUGAUUCCAACUUUUUGCUAUUGUAAAUAACUCUACAAUGGACAUCCUUGUACAUAAAUCUUUGCACACAUCUCUGAUUAUUUCCUUAGGGUAAAUUCCUAGAAGAAAAAUUACUGGUGAAAUGAUUCACACAUAGUAAGACUUUUUUUUAAAUUUAAAGCACCCUUAUUUUUAUUUUAUUUUUAAAAUUUAUUUAUUUAUUUAUUUUUGGCUGUGUUGGGUCUUCGUUGCUGUGCACAGGCUUUCUCUAGUUGCGGCGAGCGGGGGCUACUCCUCGUUGCGGUGCACGGGCUUCUCAUUGCAGUGGCUUCUCUUGUCGCGGAGCACGCGCUCUAGGCACGUGGGCUUCAGUAGUUGCGGCACACGGGCUCUAGAGCACAGGCUCAGUAGUUGUGGCGCAUGGGCUUAGUUGUCCCGCGACAUGUGGGAUCUUCCCGGACCAGGGCUCGAACCUGUGUCCCCUGCAUUGGCAGGCGGAUUCUUAACCACUGCGCCAUCAGGGAAGUCCCCGUAGUAAGACUUUUGAUAAGUACUGUCAUGUUAGUCCGGAAAGUUUAUGAUAAAUAACAUUUCCUAUAGCAAUAGAGUCUUUUCUUUCCCACUCCCCUGCAACUUUGCCAGUCCUGGUAGAUACCAAUUGAAAUGCAGAAAAAAUAAAUAAAUAAAUAAUUCUUCUGCCUCGAGAAGAACACUGUUAACAAUUUGGUGAAUGUUUUUUCCAGACUGUUUUUUGUGCACAUAUGUUUAUAGAUAUCUGUGUGUUUUUCAGAUCUGGAAUGAUGUAUACAUAGUGUUUUGUACCCUGAUUUUUGAAUUCAGUAUACUGUCCUUAUCUUUUAUGAAACAUCCUUCUUUUCCUUGACUCCAUCCUAUUAUACUGGAAAUCUGUACUGUAGCAUCCCUCAGCAAUUCCUUGAUGCUGAACGUAUAGACUGCUUCCGACUUUUCCCAUAUAAAUGGUAUGGGAGUAAAUUUCCUUCAUUAUCCAUAGUUUCUAAAUAAUUCCUUAGAAACAGAAAAUGCUAGAACAAAAACAAUGCACCUUGUAAGGAUUUUAAUAUAUGUUACAAAACUCAGAAAGACCAAGGCCAUCUUCCCUCCAGUAAUCUGAGAGUUGCAUCACUGUCUUUUUCUGUUCUUUUUUAACAUUGCUACUCUGAACGGCAUGAAAAGUUAUCUCAUUAUAGUUUUCACUUGAAUUGCUUUAACUGCUAAUGAAUUUAAACAUUUCUCAUAAGUGUAUUGCCCAUGUGCAUUUCUACUUUUGAGAUUUGGCUCUCAUUUUUCUUUAGCCAUUUUUACUGAUCUGUGAGAGCUUUGUAUAUUUUGAGAGUCUUAAUACUUUGUCAUAUAUGUUGGAACUAUUCUUCCUAGUUGUUAUGUGUUUUUAAAAUUUUAUUAGUGGUGGUGUUUGAUGUCCUGGAGUUUUUAAUGUUUAUGUUGAAUCAUUUUGUCUUUUCCUUUGUGGCGUCUUUUGGGGGAAUGAUUUUUAGGGCUCGUUGCCACAGUGGACAGUUAGACAGAUAUCCAGACUGAACUAGAUGAUGUCACACAUGUACAGUGAAUAAGAUGGCCUUUGACUUUGGAGGAGCUGUGUCGAUCACUUGGCAAUGCAGCCGGUCAGUCAAAAGCCCUCUGUCUUUCUUAAUUUUUAUUAGGAAUCUGUCCCUAACUACGUAGCAGAAAGAGCACUGGGCAGAGUCAGGGCCGCUGACCUUGGGCCGUGCUGCUAACUCACCAUGGAGCCGCCGUCCCCUCAUUUGUAGAAUGAAGGAAUGAUCAGGAUCUUUUCCUUUCACCCCUAAUUGAUCAUAGGAUGACCUUAAACAGGGCCCUAAAAAUCACUCCCCAGUGAAGCCUGUUUUAGGCAUAUAAAGCCAGACCCCCCAAAGAAAGAUAAAAUGAUGACAUCAUAUAAACAUUCAAAAUUCCUGGAUGUCAAGAAAGACCACAAGUACAAUGAAAAGAGAAAGAACAAGCUAGGAAAAAUAUUUUCAACCAUUACAUCAUUAGCUCUCCCCGACCCGGCCAAUGGACAGAUAAUUCCUGCUCUUCCUCGCUCAGAGGGUGGGGGAGGGUGAAAGGAGCCCGGCACACUGCAGGGCUCAAUGCAGGCUUCUUAUUCUCAUGAAGGAAUGAACGAAUCAAUGAUGAAACCUGCAUCCUAGGCGGUGUGUGCGCCUUCCUUUAAAUUGAACGGAGAUGGAACGCCUGGGCCGGGGAAGGAAGUGGUUUCACUUCUGUUGUUUCCUGCGGGGGUCACUGCAGAACCUCUGAGCUCAUCUGGAAAAUGGGUUUAGAACUGUUUACUCCCUCAGUUCCAGCCUCCUCCCUCCCAAGGGAUGUCAGUUGGAUGAAUCAGAGCAUAGGUAUUUUGGCCCAGCCAUUGUUUUGACAAUAGGAAUGAUUAAACUGAUAGUUUAUUUAUAUUACUCUCAUCGUUUGCACCCACAUGUCCAGAAGAGCUUUGUUCAUAGGUGUACACAAGAAGGGGACUUUCUGCAAAGUCAGAAACCGGUUGUGGGAAGAAAAUGGGGGCAUCGUCGAGGCAAAGGAGCUUUUAUUUUUUUCACAGGGUUCCUUUUCACUUUAAACUGGUUCUGUUCUGCUCUUGUGUGGCCUGGAAUGUCUGCUGAACUACAGGCCUGAGGAAGGACUUGAGUUGCAGCAUGAAAGAUUGGGUCAGAUGUCAAGAGGGACUUCCUGGUUUAUGAGAUUGUGUGGGUAGAGGAAAGAGCGAAGGAGGAAAGUCACACCACCUCCUUCCCUGUGAGUAAGAGGCGGUUAGCUUGGAGACACUCCAGUGCCUGUGGGUGAGACCCUCUCCCCACCUUCCCAGAGACCUGGGAAGCAGCAGUGGAGACAAAGCACAGCCCUGCUGGGAGGUUCCUGAGAGAAAAUGCAGCACCUCCCUCCCAUUUCACAGGUGGAGAAACCAAGGCAGGACCGUGCAACAAAUAUUUACCAAGGACCUCCCGUGUGCCGGGACUGUUCUGAGCACUAGGGGUAUAGCAGUAAGUGAGAUAGAUGACUAGCAAGCAAGGUCAGGGACACAGAGUUAGAUGUUGGGGAGUGAUGGGGCUGGACUGGGACAGGAAGUAAUGGGAGAGGAGGGGUGGAAAGCAUCCUUAAAGGAGUGGUCGCGGUAAUGCAAAAUGAACUGACUCACCAAGAUCUCACGGAGAUACAGUCAGAGUCUGGUUUCCUGACUCUUAGUCAAUGGCUCCUCUGGCUCCUCCAGGGUGUUUUGGUUGCAAGUGACAGAAAACUCAACUCAAAAAAGGCUUAUGCCCAAAGAAAAUUGAGUGACUAAAAAAUCUGAGGGUAGAUCAGGAAUGUCUUGGUCCAGGUUCUCAAACAAUGUCACCAAGCCCUGCCCUCUCUCCGUGUGUCUGCCUCUUCCAUGGGGGUUUUAGUUCUCAGGCUCCUUGUGGGAGCAAGAUGACUCCAGCAGCUCCAGGCCUGCAUCCUGGGAGUCAGGCUCAGCAGGACGGGUUGCUUCUCCUUCCCUAGCAAUUUGAACGAAAGUUCUGGGCCUGACUCCCUCGGCCAGUUUUGGGCCACAGACCAAUUUCUGAACUGCUGGCAGUGGCUUAGGGGACAUUCUGCACCAAUUGUCCGGGCCUGGGUCACAGGCCCACCCAGGAGCACUGGGCUGAGAGAAGGGAGAAUGUGUUCCCAGGUGAAUUCUGAGCAUUGUUGGCAAAAGGAGGAGGAUGGAUUCAGGCCAGCCCAAAUCCCGCCAUGACAGCGAUGUCAUCCUGCUGUCCACGCGGUAGCCCCACCAGCCACUUCCCCAGGCUGUAUUGGUCGCUGACCGUUUGCUUCCAUCUCUGUUUCCCAGAGCUCAGCCUUCAGGAUAUAGAAGAUACUUUUCUUUUUUUCAGUCCUCCAGGAUCUUGCAAUGUACUUGAGGAAACAAAUCCUAUAUCCUUAUUUUCAUCCUGUCUUUUUGUGGUUUGCUAAUGACAUGAACUUUCUGUCCACAAAGGGAAGGAUGUCUGUGGGCUGAAGGAGUCAAGUCAGGCAAAGGGGGCUUCUAGUGCAUUUCUAAGGGGGGGGUGUUGUAUUGGGCAAGGGUUUGCAGAGGGUAAAAUUCGACAGUGUGUGCAGGAUGCCAGCUAUGGUCAACUGCACACAUAGCCAUCUGAUGAUGGUUGGUUGUGAUAUAUGGUUGGGAUUUGUAUAGUUCUUGUACCACUGGUACUUUACAAGAUUAUAAGGUAGGAACCAGACAAACGUGUAUUUUAGUAGUCAAGUAUUUACUCUAAAUUUGUGCUCAAAACAAAUAUGUUAUUAACUUAUCAGACCUGGUUAAUAUGGACAGGGGUGAAGUGAAAAUUAAAAAGCAGAAAGGAGGGGGAAGAGUCGAUUUAAAGAAAGCUCCUAAAUGGUUUGCAGAAAUGGCGAAAAAUAUUGUAAUGAGAAUGAGUCAGGUCUGGGAAAUGCUGGUCUAGAGCCUGGCUUCUGGGAUCUUACUUGGAUUCCAGCGUCAGACCCACCGUGCGUCCGCAAUGCAAUUUUGGGCAAAUGGCUUCACCUUUCUGAACCUUCAGCUUUCUUACCUGUAGGAUGGGGCUGAGACUGGGACCAGCUUCGUGGGCUGUGGCGGAACCCUUGAGACAGAUAAUGUGUGUGAAACACUUAGCGUGGUGUCCGACGCGAAUGAAGGGUCAUUCAGUUAGCUAUCAGUAAUCUGUUAUUUUUCACAGGAAAGGGAGGGAAGGCAGCCCAGGUAGCAGGCAGGGCAGGAGCAAAGGCCCAGAGGUGGGAAUGGACAUGGCAGAUUGGGGCCUGCUGUGCGUGUGGGAUCUUGUAGAAGAACAGCAGGGGUGAUUUGGGGUCCGGAGGGGAGGAUGUACCAUUUGAAUGGAAACCCCAGAAGGUGAAUAAGGCUCCUCUGGGGGUUGGGACUCACUGCUCCCUCCUGAAUCUUUCCCCUCCCAGCUGACCACCGACCACUACCAUCCUCCCUGUUCCAAGUCGAGAGCUGUCUGUGCAGGCAGGUCCUCAAGAACUGGGGUGGUGCUCCAUAGAGCUAAUCUAUGUUGUUUAUCUUUAACACACCAUUAAUCACAAAUUAGCUGAUUCUUUUGUGGCCAUAAAUUAAUAGAUUCCAUUAGUAAACAGUCAAUUACAGGAUGAUUACUUUUUCUCCCUGAACCUCGAGUUUUUUUAUAGUUAUUUGAGAGCAUUUGAUGCCGUCUUCUUCCCACUCCUGGUCUCCUUUCUGUGUUCUUGGUUCAUUGGACCGGAUCUUCCAAAUGGACUGCAGAGGCUGUGGGUGGGUGGCGUGGAUUCUCUCUGUAAUGAGCUUGUAAGCAGCAGCCUGUUUGUUUUGCAGAAACAAAACUGACCGAGAUUUAUGUUGAAGAGAAUUUUUAUUUCCAACACAAACCAAAACAGCAAAGUUUCCAUCUCCUUUUAUUUCUGUGUAUGCCAUAGACAUAUUCUAUUUGUGUUUUCUUCAAUAUCUUUCCUACUUAUUGGGCCUCAUUCUGGUAAACCCCUGAUAAUCUUUUUUUUUCUCUACUUAUCCAUCCAUGCAUCUUAUCAUCCAUCCCAGUAUCCAUCCAUCCAUCAAUCCUUCCAUCCAUCCAUCCAUCCAUCCAUCCAUCCAUCCCUCUAACCGUCCAUCCCACCAUCCGUCCAUGCAUGCCUCCAUCCAUGCCUCCAUGCCUCCAUCCAUCCAACCAUCCUUCCUUCUGUCUAUAUACAUCCUUCUAUCCUUGGCUGGAAUUUCCAAGAGGGAUACUGAUCCCACUGUAUCCAUCUGCCGAGUCCUAAAGUAUUCAAGUAGAGAGAUGGAGUUAGUCUUUGGAACCCAUAGCCAUAAAUCUACUACAGGGAUAGCAAACCUAGUGCCCUCAGGGGGUAGGCAGGUACCUUAAAUAACUAAAAGCAAAAAAAUGUCCCAGGGCUUCAGUGAACUGUGGGGUUGUAGCUGUUCCUAAAGCCUUCCAAUUCAAAUUAAAAACAAAAUGCAGUAUCUUUAGACCUUAGGUUUGUGACUGUUGCCGUAUCAGCCAGAAUUCUUUGGUUGCAAGCAAUAAAAACAGACUCUUCUAGUAGGCUGAAUAAUAGUCCCUGACAAUCUCCAUGCCCUAAUCCCCAGAGCCUGUGUAUAUGGUAUCUUACAUGGUAAAAAGGACUUUACAGAUGUGAUUAAGAAUUUUGAGAUAGGCAGAUUAUUCUGGAUUAUCCAGGUGAGGCUGAUGUCAUCAGAAGGGAGGCAGGAGGGUCAGAGUCAGUGGUAGGAGAUGUGAAGGUGGAAGCAGAGUUUGGGGUGAUGCAGGGAAGGGACCAUGAGUCAAGGAAUGAAGGCAGCCUCCAGAAGCUGGAAGCGGCAAGGAAGUAGAUUCUGCCACUUUCAGAAAGAAUGCAGCCCUGCCAUCGUUUGACUCUAGUCCAGUGACUGAUCUUGGACUUCAAACCUCCAGAACCAGAGAAUCAUAAAUGUGUGUUGUUUUAAGUCAUGAAGUUGAUGAUAAUUUGUUAUAGCAGCCGCAGGAAACUCACCCACUAAAAAAACAAAACAAAACAAAUUAUUGAAAGGCCUUUUAGUAGCCUCCAGCUCCAACUCAGAACAGAAACUCAGGGGGCUUCCCUGGUGGUGCAGUGGUUGAGAGUCCGCCUGCCGAUGCAGGGGACACGGGUUCGUGCCCCGGUCCGGGAGGAUCCCACAUGCUGCAGAGCGGCUGAGCCCGUGCUCCGCCAGGGGAGAGGCCACAACAGUGAGAGGCCCGCGUACCGAGGAAAAAAAAAAAGAACAGAAACUCAGGAAAGACCAUAGUCAGGGAGAGUUCUGGGAUUUUAGAGAGCAAAUCUGAGGGAUGAUCCCUUGGGCACCUCUGCUGGGAUAAAAUCAGCAUUUCCCAUCCUUGUUUAAGGCUGCUCAAAUUUCACAUUCCUAGGAGAGGCUCUGAUUGACUGAGCUUGGGUCACCUCAAACUGGCCGCCUCACUGGAAUGGAGUACCCCAAAGCAAAACCAGGGCCACGCUUGAGUGACUUGUCCCUCCAUGCCCAGUCAGCUCUGGCCAGAGAUGGGGCCACAGACUAUAGAUAUGGCGGUGGGGACCCCUCUACAAGGACGGGGGCCUGGGCAGAUGCUCCAGCAUGGCCUAAAAUAUUCCCAGCUCUAUUCCAUCCUUGGCAAGCCCAGCCUUGGGUGCCUUCUAGUUGGACAUCUGAAUUCUCAGCCUCCAGGAGGGCGAUUCAAUCCUUGUGACCUUAGCCUGCGGUCUCAGCCCCAUGCUGAUUCUUGCCGGGACUAAAGCACCCACCUCCUAACCAGGCCUGGUGUUGGGUCUUUUCUCUUCAGCCACCCACCUUUCCAGCACGGGUCCAGUUUUCUUAAAUAGAAACAUAUUUAAAUGGGGGUUUUCAGCCUCAACACUGCUGACAUUUUGGGCUGGAUCAUUCUCUGUCCUGUGCACUGUAGGGUGUUUAGCAGCAACCCUGGCCUCUGCCUGUGAGAUGCCAGUAACCUCCUCCUCCAUAUUCUGGCACCAAAAAUGUCUCCAGACAUUGUCAAGUAUCAAGGGCAAAACCGGUCCCGGGUGAGAACCACUGGUUUGAAGCAUUACUUCUGUCCCUAUCCAUCACCUCUGCCACCACCACCGGAUCCAGGCCACCAUUCUCUCAUCUCAGCAACUACAGGAAUCCUCUCCUUGGUCUUUCCAUUCCCUCUUGACCCUUCCAGUCUAUUCCCCAUAACCAGCUGGAGAGAGAUUUCCUAGAAAGCAAAUCUGGUGUCCUGGCACUCCUUUGUCUAAAAAACGCUUCUGGAGUUCUCCAGAGGUCCUUGACAAUGUCCCAACCACUCACCAUGUUCUCUGAGAUCUGCCGACUUCCCCAGCCUCGUACCCCAAUACCUUUCUCCUUAUUCUCUACGCUUCAACCAUAUCCCGAACUUCUACACAUUCUUCCAAUGGAUUUCCCCACCCCUGGGCCUUUGCACUUGCUGUUUCCUUUGCCUGGAACACUCAUCCUGCCACUCUUUGUUUGGUUAACAGUUACUCACCUUUGAGACCUGUUUCAGUUAGGAAUGCUUUUGUUUAGUUGUAAUGACACAAAAACAGACAGUCUGGAGGCAGUUGGUUUCUGGGUAUUGGUUCUGUGACUCAGGGCUGUUAUCUCUGGGAUCCUCUUGGCCUUUCCCUCAGGGCCACAAGACCGUUGCCUGAGCUGCAGACAUCCCAUCCCUAUUUAAUGCAGGAAGAAGGAGGACAGUGGAGCCAACAGACUUCAGCUUGCAUCUCAUUAGUCACAAUUGUCCCGUGGCAAUCCAUGCUGCAGCGGAGGCUGAGAAGGUAGGUGUUUAAUUCUUGCAGCCUUGAUAGAGGGAGUAAGUAAAGGAGAAUGGAAUUGAGAAUGCUAUCCAUUAAGUGUUGUCUUAAAUGUCACUUCCUCCUGGAAGCCUCCCCCGAUUGCCUAGGUGAGGUCAGCUACUCCCAUUAUAUGCUCUCCUAGCACCCUAUACCUCUCCUUCAUACCCUUAUCACAACUAUAAUUUAUUCAUUUACUUGUGCAUUUGAUAAUGGGCAUCUGAUUGUUUUCUUGGUCUGUGAUUUAGUGAGUUCACUCCUAUUUCUCUGGCCCAAGCAUGGUGCCUGGUAUACAGUAGGACCUCAAUGAUUAUUUCUUUUUUUUUUUUUUUUGCGGUACGCGGGCCUCUCACUGUUGUGGCGUCUCUGGUUGUGGAGCACAGGCUCCAGACGCGCAGGCUUAGCGGCCAUGGCUCACGGGCCCAGCCGCUCUGCGGCAUGUGGGAUCUUCCCGGACUGGGGCACGAACCCGUGUCCCCUGCAUCGGCAGGCGGACUCUCAACCACUGUGCCACCAGGGAAGCCCACAAUGACCAUUUCUUGACUUCCUGCUGCCAAAUAAUUCCUGCUAGAGCACAGAGAGGCCCUGACCCUGUCCGGCCCAGGACUUUUGUUGCCUCUGAGCAGAAAGACAGCCUCUUUUCGUCAUCAGCUUUCCCAGCAGUGGCUGGCCUUGUUUUGGCACGUUUUCUACCCAGCCUCAGUUUCUGGAGCAGGUCCACCUGUGUUUCAGUUGCACGUCUGUCGGCCACGUGCUGAUAAGGAGCGGAAACUUGUAUGCAGAUCAGUUGUGAGAUACGGCACUGGGAAAAGAGGCUGCUCCUGGUGGGGCUGCCCCUGGGCUCUGAGAGGAUGCAGGUUCUGGGCUCUGGGAGGAUGCAGGUUCUGAGUUUCCUGGGACAGCAGGCAGGGCCCUGCCUCCUCAUCCUGUCCCACCUACCUGCCAGCUGGGACUUCUGGGUUUCCUUACUGUGCCCAUUUAUUGAUCCGGUUGUUUACCGUGGGUUUUAUAUUUUUUUCCCAUCAGACAAAGUAACAUCACGUGUUCACACCGUGCAUCUUUGUUGAGUGCCUGGUAAUAUGUGAUUCUGCAGAUACGGGGGAACACAAAACGGAGGCAGUUCUUGUACCCCUGGGGGCGGUAGUCUGGUUUGGCAGACAGACACUGGCGUCAGUCAAAGACAUAAAUAAAUGUAAAACCACAACUACCGCCAGUCCUGGGAAAGAGGAAAUGGUGCCGGAGGGCCCAGCGGAAGGACAUCGCCCAGGGAGGUUAGAAGGGGCUUCCCGGAAGCUGUGAUGACCACGUUCAGAGAGGAAGGAAAACAGGAGGACAGCAGGUGAAGGGGCCAGGAAGAUGUGUUCCGGGUAGGGGGAUCACAUGGCAACGGCCCUGAGGGGCCAGCACGACAGGCUGAGAGUGGUUGUUUCCUGGGCUGCAGAUGGAAAUUCCCUUCUCAGUUAGUAUCCAGGGGUUGGACACUGGCAGAUCCGUGAAUGCCAUGGGUUCACCAUUUAUUGGCAACCUUCUGUGCCCCCCAGCCUGGUGCUAUGCCCAGGGAUCCCCAGAUGAGCAAACGUCCCUACCAUCCAUAACUUUUCUCAAAUGGACAGAAGGGGUGGGUGUACCUAACCAUUGACAAUAGGGAAGUCUGCUCUUGUUCAGACUUAAAGCUGUUUCCAGGCAGAUGGCUCAGUCCGCCAGGUACCUUGGAUGCUGGCUGUGGGCAAAGAACGUAGCUGAUGCACCCCUGGGGCUCUUCCUACCGGGAGCAGGCCAACAGUUUCCCAGGCAGGGUGAGUUUUGAGUUUAUUCAACAUCCAAAAGAUCAAAUCAGAAAAGAAAAAAAAAAGGAAAA
Orcinus orca (killer whale) is the source of this 15151-nucleotide long non-coding RNA. RefSeq lists it as uncharacterized. The record is from RefSeq and is a predicted model, not a curated record. The transcript has 2 exons. Lineage: Eukaryota; Metazoa; Chordata; Mammalia; Artiodactyla; Delphinidae.